ACACAGAAAGGGCCAAGGAAGUCUUGUGGACAGACCUGUAGGGUUUCCAGCAUUUCAACCUUCUCGUUCUGACUUUUAGGAGAGAAAGCGAAAGGCCCGUGUCUCCCCGUGCAAGCUGCCGGGCUGUGUCCCCGGCGGGAGACCCGCCUCUCGCGCUGAGCCUCGGUGCCGCGGGGUCAGGGUGGCCACGGCGGGCCGCAGAGCGCGCUCAGCCGGAAUGCGGCCGAGAUGUUCCCGGGGCCGUCUGGAGCAGUCUUCCCCGGAGCUCGCCUCCAGCAGGGGGAGGCUGCCAGGACUGAUUUUCCACUGUGCGAAGGAACGCUCUGGAAGGAAGGAGGUGGCCACGUGGACUGGAGCCCCGGUUCCCGGCCAAGCCUUCCAACAAUCCUUCGCAUUCUGGUGAGCGAAGCCGUGUCCUCGUGUUGUCCCAGGGCUGCGGGGCCACCGCCCCGUCAGCAAAGUCAGGCAGCCCCACGGCUCGGACUUGCUUCCUACCGCAGGGCGCACUGUGUCCGGUGGGGAAGGCCACGCAGAGAGAGACGGUUACACGCCCACGGUCACGCUGCAGAGGUGGUCGUGAUCGUUCACGGAGCCCUUCUGCUGUGCCCGGAAGCUUGUAAAGGUGACCUUAUUUAACACUUGAAACGGACUUUGCGGCCUUGUUUUAUAGACAAGGAAACCGAACUGAGAGAAGCUAAGGAACCUGUGUAGGGCCGCCCAGCUACAAGAGAAGCAGGGUUUCCACCUGUGUUGACGGAUCGUGUUUCCACGUGGUUUCCGCUGUGGGCAGCAGAGGGUCUCAGGCCUGGCAUCAGAGAAGUCUGCCAGGGAGCGAGGCCCUGGGACAGACAGAGGCUGAAAACUCAACGGCUUUUCAUCGAGGGCCCUCCAGGAACCCAGCUUGAAAGCACGUAGGCCUCCCCGUGAACCAGAGAGGUUUCUGGGCCACAGAAUUGGCAAAGGGCGGCAGAAAAGCAGGGCAGAAGGAAGACGCAUUUCAAAGGACGGUCAAGAAUUUGCUGCUCAGGAAAUAUUUCUGGAAAAGUUCAAUGGGGCGUCCUGUGGAAUCUCAAAUAUUCCACAUUUAAGAGGAAGGAAGGCCGUUGGCUCUUUGGCGUGUGAUCCAGCCGCCCGGAGAAGCCCCUCAGGCCGCGCUUGGGCGCCUGUCCCCGGCCCUGACGCGCCUCCCACUGCUGCUUCUCCGGGACAUCGUGUAGGCGGAACAAGACAGGACACAGGCCCAAAGCAGCCGCAGUAAAGGUCGCCCGAGAAGAGUGAGCCAUGGAGGGCGGCUUCCUUCCACAGCGUGAGGCCCUUGGGGACCGUCCCUGUUCGUCACAUCAUGGGACGUGGCCUUGUUUGUCUCUCUGUUCACCCACUGAGGUCAUGCGCCUUGUUUCACGUUUAUGUCCUGUGCCAAAUGUGGUGAGUCGUCAGCCACCGUUUCUCCGGAUGCCCGUCACUCCCUCUCCCCGGACUCCGGCGACACAAUCCUUAGACCCUCUGCUGUUUCCCCGCAGAUCUGCGACUCUCUGUUCACUUCCUUCCUUUUUUAUUUUUUUAUUUCUUUUUUUACUUUUCCCUUUUUAGUUGUAUUUUCUUAUUGAGACAAAAUUCAUAUAACAUCAAAGUCACCAUCUUA
Long non-coding RNA from Prionailurus viverrinus (fishing cat), 1642 nucleotides. RefSeq lists it as uncharacterized. NCBI's taxonomy places the organism in Eukaryota, Metazoa, Chordata, Mammalia, Carnivora, Felidae. The record is from RefSeq and is a predicted model, not a curated record. The transcript has 3 exons.